GCACAUCAUCUUCAAGUGAGGCCGGGAGCUCUCCUCCAAGACAACGUCGUCGACAUGAUACGUCAUCAUCUGUGGAGGAGAUGCUUCCCGGCCAAGGGACGGCAGGAGAGGAGGAAGUCGGGGGUGGAGGACAGCAAGCGUCAGCUCGUCCCGUUGACUCAGAGAG
Molecule: long non-coding RNA, 166 nt
Organism: Bufo bufo (common toad)
Lineage: Eukaryota; Metazoa; Chordata; Amphibia; Anura; Bufonidae
Exons: 3
Source: RefSeq, a predicted model, not a curated record